This is a long non-coding RNA of Monopterus albus (swamp eel), 388 nucleotides long. RefSeq lists it as uncharacterized. The transcript has 3 exons. The record is from RefSeq and is a predicted model, not a curated record. NCBI's taxonomy places the organism in Eukaryota, Metazoa, Chordata, Actinopteri, Synbranchiformes, Synbranchidae.
UUAAGUUGCAGCGUUCUGUUUAGCUCUUAUUCUGAGGUAAAGCAGUCAAAUUUAUGCUUUCGGGUUCAGGUGGGCUAGUUUAUCUAGCAUUAGCCAUAAAUUUAUGUUAAUGUAACAUGGUAGCAAACCUCUGCUAGCAAGAAACUUUUCAAGCUGAAGUGCUGAGUACAUCGAGUCCAGAACUUGAGCCACUUGACCAAGUGAAGAGGAUAACGCAAAACCUAACAGGCUCGCACUACAGAUCAGUAAUGUAGCAGAUCUUGACAUCCAGACAAGUUCAUUUUGAGCCUCAGACACAGAUGUUGAGGCAAGCAGUGUGUCUGGCCAUGGAAUGACUGAUCAUGAGGAGCAUCGAGAAUUGUACAGGAUUCUUGACACAUUAAGACAG